Non-coding RNA from Populus tomentosa, 115 nucleotides. NCBI's taxonomy places the organism in Eukaryota, Viridiplantae, Streptophyta, Magnoliopsida, Malpighiales, Salicaceae. The record is from the annotation of a GenBank genome assembly.
GCGAUCAUACCAGCACUAAUGCACCAGAUCUCAUCAGAACUCCGCAGUCGAACGCGCUUGCGCGAAAGGAGUACUAGGAUGUGUGACCUUCUUAGAAGUCCUCGUGUUGCACCCC